AAUCAUGUAGUAACCCAAAAAGUGUUGGUGACUACCAGUUGGUUGAGAGAAUGCCAAAGGUGUGCAAAGCUGUCAUCAAGGCAAAGGGUGGCUACUUUGAAGAAUCUCAGGAAAUGUACAUAGUGAACUUGUACACAUUGUAAAUACGUAAAUACAAUUCACUAUUUCAGAACGUGGCCUUCCUCCUGCAUGUCAAUAUCAGAAUGGGAAGAAUUUACAUUCUUGAUCUCCCCCUAUCUACAAGUGUAGCGAAUGACAAUACACCUUGUAAGCAUCUUAAUUGAACCAACCAAUUGGAAUACAUUAACAUUGUAUACAUACACGUAUUUCUGCAGAACCAAACUUUUUACAAAGUCACAGAUCACAAGGACAAAAGCUGAAGAGCAAACGCGCAUCCAGGUGCUUUCCACAGGUGCUGGAGUUGUAUACAAAACGCAUGGAAAACAGAAUGAAAAACGGCAGAUCAGAAGGAACCAUGGAAGUGUUUGAAAUCUGACCAGAGGUCGAACAGCUCCAGCCCCACAAUGGUCAAAGGACAGUUGGGACAGAAGCUUAAAACUACUGAUUGGUGGUAGCUCUCUGAUUGGACACUUGACACAAGUGACCUGAUUCAACAGAUAAAAAAAUGCAGCACAAUGUCAGUCGUGACAAAUGAAAGAAAAGCUCUCUAAGGCAAUUGUAUUUACAUUAGAGUGGUAUAGGUUUCACCUCUCCUCUCGUCCUCUCUGUCCAGUCAACGUUCACCUGAUAGCAGGAAAACCACUGAACCGUUUGUCAGUAGUAGAGUUGGUUACAUUUAAUUGUCUCCUGUGUGAUGAAAUGACAACAACACAGAGAGAGAACCUGUUUUAAAGGAGUGUGUAAAACACAGGGACUGCCUCGCCAUGCCCUGAGGCAGAGUAACAAUGUCACCAGGGGUGGAUUCAUUAGUCCAAAACGUUUUACAACAGAAACCGUUUACUCCAAACGGAAACCAUUGUGAAAUGAAAAGAGUUUCUAUUGGACAAGGUGAGGUAAAUCCCACCCCCUGUUUCGUUCCAUAUGCUUCCGUUUGGUUCUGUUUUCUUCCUAGUGAAUACACCCAAUGUAUCUAUCAGGUUUAAGGUAAUGUCGCUACACGGCCACAAGCCAUCAAGGAAGUAAUCAGUCAGAUUGGAUGUCCAGUGAAUGAAGGUAAGGGAAAGACGUGACUGGCACUGAAGGUGUCACGACUUCCACCGAAGGUGGCUCCUCUCCCUGUUCGGGCGGUGGUCGUCGUCGCCGGCCUACUAGCUGGGACUCCUUAAUAAACGAUUGUGCCACUGGGA
This 1307-nucleotide long non-coding RNA is filed under the name Salmo salar (Atlantic salmon). RNAcentral describes it as "lncRNA (ENSSSAG00000120706.1)". Lineage: Eukaryota; Metazoa; Chordata; Actinopteri; Salmoniformes; Salmonidae. The record is from RNAcentral.